This 1212-nucleotide ribosomal RNA is filed under the name Triticum aestivum (bread wheat). RNAcentral's name for it is "partial small subunit ribosomal RNA". Lineage: Eukaryota; Viridiplantae; Streptophyta; Magnoliopsida; Poales; Poaceae. The record is from RNAcentral.
GAAAAUCAAAAGAAAAAUAAAACGCUAGCAAAAAGGCCGGCGCAGAGCGCCACCACCCACCACACAAACAGCCAGCCGCUGCCGUCCUCGGUCCUCCCGACGGCCGGCGAUGGCGACCCUGGGCGUGCUACUGCUGCUGCUCCGGAGGAACGCUCACCUAGAGCAGGAUCUCGACCUUCGCUUCCGCCUCUUCCGCUACUGGGACUCCCUACCCGAUGGGCACGCCUAGUUCCUUCGCGCCAACGCCUCCGCCAUCGGCCCCUCAUUGGCAACCCCGAUGCCGCAUCGAUGUGCCGCCGUCCUUCUCUGUGGGGACGGACUACGUCGACCUCCCAAGUACCGGGAGCGCCGCACCCGCGUCACCAACAUCCCCAACUUCCUCACCGACGACGUUGCCGGCCUCGCUAUCUUUGUGCCAAGGGAGACCGCGCAGGCUGACUGCUACAUGCACGCCGGCUUGUGGAAGGCAAGAGGAACUACACAGUCACCACGCUGGUCAAAGGAAGAAGUCUAACCUGAAGAAGUGCAGGGAAGAAUUACAACUGCAUGUGGUCGGCUGGUUCAGGGGACGUUCAGGGUGGGCGCGGCGGCUCAUAUGCCGGGGCAGGCUCUUGGGCACUAGCGAUCUCGCAGACGGAUAUUAGAAAAAAAGGUGAAGGAGGGGCGGCCGCCCACUCGACGGUGCUGAUAAGGGCGGCGAGGGAGCCCGGAAGGUAGGCGUCGAUGCAGUGCAGGUCGACGACGAUCCGAUGCAGGGAUCAAGGUCGCCGUGUAGGGAGGCGUCGAUGCAGUGCAGGGUUGGCGAUGAAAGGCAGGGAGAGGGCGAGGACGCGAUUAGGUUGAGUUUUCUUUUUCGCGUGGUGGUUAGAUGGUUAGAUUAGUGUGAUUUGAGGGGCUAUGGAGGCUGGUCAGGGAGUUUCGUAUUUUCAUCUGAUGGAGUACGGUUAGUCUAUGUAAACUGCUAAGCGCACACAAGAUCUCGAAUAAAUUAAUGAUGGUUGUUAGAUGGGGUCGUUCGGGCUUCACCCUAUGGUGUUGAUGUCGGUUACGUGGUUGUGGACGUUUUGCAGGGUGCACUUAAGAAAGUUCUUCUUUGAUUGUUUAAUAGUAGUGGAGAUAAAAUAGUCAGUUUCAUAAUUAUUCACCAAAGAAAAUUAGUAUGAUGAUACAAUGCAAAAUAUAGCUCUUAGGAUUGUUGGACAAAAUAUAUCC